CUCUGUGACUCCUACGGGAGGCAGCAGUGGGAAUAUUGCACAAUGGGCGCAAGCCUGAUGCAGCCAUGCCGCGUGUAUGAAGAAGGCCUUCGGGUUGUAAAGUACUUUCAGCAGUGAGGAAGGUGGUGCAGUUAAUAGCUGUAUCAUUUGACGUUAGCUGCAGAAGAAGCACCGGCUAACUCCGUGCCAGCAGCCGCGGUAAUACGGAGGGUGCGAGCGUUAAUCGGAAUUACUGGGCGUAAAAGCGCAUGCAGGUGGUUUGUUAAGUCAGAUGUGAAAAGCCCGGGCUCAAACCUCGGAAAUUGCAUUUGAAAAACUGGCAGACUAGAGUACUGUAGAGGGGGUAGAAUUUCAGGUGUAGCGGUGAAAAUGCGUAGAGAUCUGAAGGAAUACCAGUGGCGAAGGCGGCCCCUGGACAAAGACUGACGCUCAGAUGCGAAAGCGUGGGGAGCAAACAGGAUUAGAUACCCUGGUAG
Molecule: ribosomal RNA, 476 nt
Filed under: uncultured bacterium
Lineage: Bacteria
Description: bacterial SSU rRNA
Rfam family: Bacterial small subunit ribosomal RNA
Source: RNAcentral